CCCAGACAACGCGAGGACGCCCGUGCGCCUACGUACAUGUGCUCCAGGCCAACUGGUUGUGCACAUAGACACAUGACCCAUCAAGUGGGCGCCCGUGGCGCGCCUUGUCUGCACACGAACCACGCAGGGACACCCACGCAUCGUACGCUUGCUCGCACACACACUAGGCCAACUGGGCGUGCACACAGGCACACGACCCAUCAGCCGAGCGUGUGCACUGGUGCACAACCCAUCAGCCGAGCAUCUACGCUCCACCCUGUCUGCUAGUGAAUCCCUGGUGCAGAUGCAUGCUCUGGGCGUGUGGCUCCGCGCGCGUAGCCCUAGUUUGUCGUGCGGGUAAGUGAUCCUUCUAAGUAUGCAGAUAAGCUG
Molecule: long non-coding RNA, 369 nt
Filed under: Carica papaya (papaya)
Lineage: Eukaryota; Viridiplantae; Streptophyta; Magnoliopsida; Brassicales; Caricaceae
Description: long non-coding RNA (CPAP_LNC007197)
Source: RNAcentral